Long non-coding RNA from Erpetoichthys calabaricus (reedfish), 625 nucleotides. RefSeq lists it as uncharacterized. Lineage: Eukaryota; Metazoa; Chordata; Cladistia; Polypteriformes; Polypteridae. The record is from RefSeq and is a predicted model, not a curated record. The transcript has 2 exons.
AAAAAUUUAAAGCUGUACACCAAUCAGCAUUUGUGGAAAUAGUGUGCACACUUUUUUCCCAGAAUCUUCACUUCUAUUCUGGUAGUAAACAGCGCAGAUAUUGACGAGAAUAGUCAAUGUCUGUCCAACUUGGCUUUUUCACUUCAUCUUUUGCAUUCAGCUUUAUCUUCUUGUCGAGUAGACAGUUCAUUAUAAAUGUUGUUCCUUCCUUAAUUAUUUGUAAUCCUAAUUCACCAUAACUAAGUGAAUUUAUUCAAAAUCAAAAUUACAAUUUCACAUUUUCUAUGUGAGAUCUUAUUUUUGAAGCUUCGUUAGACAAGAAAUUUCAUACAUCCAGGUACAGUCCAUCGUAUUUAAGUGCAAUGUGGUGCACACAGAUGCAAGACAGUCCAAUGAGAAAUAACAUUUCUUGAUUUGAGACAGUUGAAUGUUUGCUUCUUAUACUGAAGACACAAACAAUGCAUCACAAGUGAGUUUACUUACAAAAUUAAAGGAGAAAUACCGCCUUGAAAUCCAUAUACUGUAAUUCUUACAACUUUUAAAAGGUGACAAUAAUUAUGCCCAGUCUAUUUUUUAUUCAUGUGUGGAAUUACUUUAAACAAAAGAAAUAAAUAUGUGAAUACCA